This 542-nucleotide ribosomal RNA is filed under the name uncultured bacterium. RNAcentral describes it as "bacterial SSU rRNA". It matches the Rfam family "Bacterial small subunit ribosomal RNA", at positions 131 to 689 of the family's 1533-position model. The record is from RNAcentral.
CUAUACUCGGGGGAUAGCCCGAUGAAAGUUGGAUUAAUACCGCAUAUAGCUAUAUAGUUGCAUGAUUAUGUAGUGAAAGAUUUAUUGGUAUAGGAGGAGUCUGCGGCACAUUAGCUAGUAGGUGAGGUAAAGGCUUACCUAGGCGACGAUGUGUAGCCGGUCUGAGAGGAUGAACGGCCACAAUGGAACUGAGACACGGUCCAUACUCCUACGGGAGGCAGCAGUGGGGAAUAUUGCACAAUGGGGGAAACCCUGAUGCAGCAACGCCGCGUGAGUGAAGAAGGUUUUCGGAUUGUAAAGCUCUGUUAGCAGGGAAGAGGAAGGACGGUACCUGCAGAGGAAGCCACGGCUAACUACGUGCCAGCAGCCGCGGUAAUACGUAGGUGGCAAGCGUUGUUUGGAAUAACUGGGCGUAAAGGAUGCGUAGGCGGUUAAACAAGUUAUAUGUUAAAUAUAUAGGCUUAACCUGUAGAAAGCAUAUAAAACUGUUUAACUAGAAUGCAGGAGAAGUAAGUGGAAUUCCUAGUGUAGCGGUGAAAUGC